CGCGGGGUAGAGCAGCCCGGUAGCUCGUCAGGCUCAUAACCUGAAGGUCAAUGGUUCAAAUCCAUUCCCCGCAACCA
This 77-nucleotide transfer RNA is filed under the name Alphaproteobacteria bacterium. Its description in RNAcentral is "tRNA-Met". It matches the Rfam family "tRNA". Rfam says of the family: Transfer RNA (tRNA) molecules are approximately 80 nucleotides in length. Their secondary structure includes four short double-helical elements and three loops (D, anti-codon, and T loops). Lineage: Bacteria; Pseudomonadati; Pseudomonadota; Alphaproteobacteria. The record is from RNAcentral. RNAcentral also lists the same sequence under 2 other names.